AGUCGCACGGAAGCUUCGGCUUCAGUGGCGGACGGGUGAGUAACGCGUAGGUAUCUGUCCACGGGUGGGGGAUAACUCCGGGAAACUGGAGCUAAUACCGCAUAAUACCUGAGGGUCAAAGGCGCAAGUCGCCUGUGGAGGAGCCUGCGUUCGAUUAGCUUGUUGGUGGGGUAAUGGCCUACCAAGGCGAUGAUCGAUAGCUGGUCUGAGAGGAUGAUCAGCCACACUGGGACUGAGACACGGCCCAGACUCCUACGGGAGGCAGCAGUGGGGAAUAUUGGACAAUGGGGGCAACCCUGAUCCAGCAAUGCCGCGUGUGUGAAGAAGGUUUUCGGAUUGUAAAGCACUUUCGGCGGGGACGAUGAUGACGGUACCCGCAGAAGAAGCCCCGGCUAACUUC
This 400-nucleotide ribosomal RNA is filed under the name uncultured bacterium. RNAcentral's name for it is "bacterial SSU rRNA". It matches the Rfam family "Bacterial small subunit ribosomal RNA", at positions 60 to 504 of the family's 1533-position model. The record is from RNAcentral.